Molecule: non-coding RNA, 91 nt
Filed under: Paraburkholderia sacchari
Lineage: Bacteria; Pseudomonadati; Pseudomonadota; Betaproteobacteria; Burkholderiales; Burkholderiaceae
Source: RNAcentral
UUCAAUGGUCGGGCCUUGGUGGGGAGACCUUCGGGUCUGCCGGUUUCCUUGGGGCCGGUUCGCCAACCCUGUCUUGUGCCCGGCCACCCCG